UAAGACAGAGGGUGCAAACGUUGUUCGGAAUUACUGGGCGUAAAGCGCGUGUAGGCUGCUCGGAAAGUCGGAUGUGAAAGCCCUGGGCUCAACCUAGGAAGUGCAUUCGAAACUUCCGAGCUGGAGUGCUGGAGAGGAAGGCGGAAUUCUCGGUGUAGAGGUGAAAUUCGUAGAUAUCGAGAGGAACACCGGUGGCGAAGGCGGCCUUCUGGACAGCCACUGACGCUGAGACGCGAAAGCGUGGGGAGCAAACAGG
This 256-nucleotide ribosomal RNA is filed under the name uncultured bacterium. Its description in RNAcentral is "partial 16S ribosomal RNA". It matches the Rfam family "Bacterial small subunit ribosomal RNA", at positions 521 to 776 of the family's 1533-position model. The record is from RNAcentral.